CGGGGGGAGCAAGCGUUGUUCGGAUUUACUGGGCGUAAAGGGCGCGUAGGCGGCGCGACAAGUCACUUGUGAAAUCUCUGGGCUCAACCCAGAACGGUCAAGUGAUACUGUCGUGCUAGAGUGCGGAAGGGGCAACUGGAAUUCUUGGUGUAGCGGUGAAAUGCGUAGAUAUCAAGAGGAACACCUGCGGCGAAGGCGGGUUGCUGGGCCGACACUGACGCUGAGGCGCGAAAGCUAGGGGAGCGAACGGGAUUAGAUACCCCGGUAGUCCUAGCCUUAAACGAUGAAUGCUUGGUGUCCGGAGUUAGAUCGUCUCCGGGUGCCGUCGCUAACGCUUUAAGCAUUCCGCCUGGGGAGUACGGUCGCAAGACUA
RNAcentral lists this ribosomal RNA (373 nucleotides) under uncultured organism. RNAcentral describes it as "bacterial SSU rRNA". It matches the Rfam family "Bacterial small subunit ribosomal RNA", at positions 526 to 896 of the family's 1533-position model. The record is from RNAcentral.